Molecule: ribosomal RNA, 399 nt
Filed under: Triticum aestivum (bread wheat)
Lineage: Eukaryota; Viridiplantae; Streptophyta; Magnoliopsida; Poales; Poaceae
Description: partial small subunit ribosomal RNA
Source: RNAcentral
AUGAUCUUCUUUAUUCAUUCAUCCCACCCGCCACUCACAUGUCUCUCGCCUUGGUCCGCUCGAUCAGGCACUGUCUUGUUGAGGUGUCCUGCUACUAAGGGCAUCUUCAAUAGAUUGUAUGUUAGUUUUGUUGGUAAAAUGUUUAUGUCAUCAACCAACAAACUAUCAUACAACUAUUUCAAUGGGUUGUAUCUAAGGUAUCCAAUAAAUGAUGAGAAAAUAAAUGUGAUUGCUCUUUAUUUCACCUUGGAGUUUGUGCAAAGGUUGUUGGUUAUUCUACAUACAACUUUGCUCUCUCUUCAUAUUUAUUACAUGUCACAUCAUCACUAUGUCCUAGGUGAAAAAUUUACCAACACCUAUCUUACAGCUGUUGGAGAUGCCCUAAAGGUGAAGCGCUAG